GAAAUGCGUCGGGAACAUUAUGGAGUGAAAAUCUUUGUGAUUCUUGUGAUCACAGAGUGUCUUUUCUUUUCUUUCUCCUCAUCAGAUUCAGAGAUGUCCUGUCAUUUCAUGCAGAGCUGCAUCCUCCCCUGUAGUUUAGAUAAUGGAGAUGAAUUAAUCAUCCACUGGUUUUAUAUGAAAGGAGACCUAAAUGUUCACUCCUUCUACCAAAACCAAGACCAGCUGGGAAACCAGAACCAGCGCUUUAGAAACAGAACCUCACUAUUCAAGGACCAGAUUCCCAGAAAUAACUUCUCACUGAAACUAACAGGAGUGAAGCUUCAGGAUGAAGGCAGAUAUCAUUGUCUCAAGAGCUCCACCAAAGGAUUCAAUGAGUUAUUUAUCAACCUGAAAGUUGAUGCUCCAGUUUCUGACAUCAGGAUCCAUCAGGAUGGAAACAGGAUCACCUGCAGCUCAGAGGGGAUCUACCCUCAACCUGAACUCACCUGGUCCACUGAGCCUCCAUCCAGCACGACUCUGAAUGAAACUACCAGGAUCCAGAAAACUGAAGAUCAACUUUACAACGUCAGCAGCUCUCUGACGGGUCCAGAUGGUCCAGAUCGGAUCUACAGCUGCAGCAUCAGAACCAGGAGGAACCAGAGGAGAGCAACGUUCAGGGAACAAUCAGUGACCAGCGCCCCCUACAGGACAACAACCCUCCACUGCUCUGACUCCAACUCGUCUGCAGCCAGCCUGGUCUGGAGGUUCAACGAUCAGAUCAUCCUGAGUCAGACGGAGCCCAGCGUCUCCCCCAGAGUCUCAGAGGCCUGGAGGAAACAUGUGAAGGUCGAGUCAAGGUCAGGAAGCCUCACCUUACAGGAUAUGACAUCACAGCGGGAGGGGGUCUACACCUGCGAACUCAGCAACAAAGAUGAGACGAUUAUUACAAAGACCUGUGUGAGGAUCAACCAAGAGAGUCGAACUCAUCAUCAGAUCAGCAUCAUCAUCGGUGUUGUUGUUGUUGUUGGUGUUUUUAUUGUUGCAGCAAUAAUCAUAUGGAAGAAAUGCUGUAGAAAUGGUAAAAUAGCAAAUUGAUUGAUUUCUGUAUUUCAAUAAUCUGUUUCUCACUAAUAGUAUUUUCUCAUCUCCACAGCAGGAGGAGCUUAAGCUGCAAAAGAUGUUGAACUUCAGAGUCCUGAAAGUUCACAUGAAGCUGCAGCUGAAUGACGACUCUGCUGUCCUGGAUUUUAAUAAGUGAUGUUUUGUCAAAAUAAGACAAUAAUUUUUACCAAAAUAAUUACCAUGGAUCUUUGGCUUAAUCUAUAAAGAGGGAAGGAGGAAGCAACAGUCGAUUGUUCACAAUAAAAAUUCAGAUUUAGUGUUUUGGAUAGAACUAUCCUGACGUGUCCUAUCAGAGAAAUGAGCUGCGCAGUGGAGCAGAGGGUAGAAAUGUUGCCUCCCAUCAGGAAGGUUCUGGGUUUGAAUCCUGAGUCUGUUCUCCCUGUCAGGUUCUUCCUGGGUACUCCAGCUUCCUCCCACUGACCAGAAACAUGAGGUGGUGUGUGUCUCCGUGUGUGUGUGUGUGUGUGUGUGUGUGUGUGUGUGUGUGUGUGUGUGUGUGUGUAGUUGCCCUGUACUAUGAUGAACUGCUGACCUAAAACCAAUGUUUUCUUUAUAUCACGUCAGUAUUAAACCAGUUGGGUUUAAAAAGGAAAACUUAACAUGUUUUAAAUUUUAAAACAAUUUAAAUAUUUCAACAUUAUGAGUAAAAUAAAAACUUGGCAAAAUGUUGACAAAGUUGCAUUAAAUUCACUGAUUCAAUUUAUACCCAAAACCGCAAUAAAUUUCUUUGUAAAAUCUAGUUGAAGUUUUUAUAAUUUGUUGAAUUAUUUUCUUUUCCUGAAAUGUUGUGAUUAUUUUCUCAUUAAUGUGUUUUAAUAUCAAGUUGUUUUGUCCUGUUACUGAAGAUUUGAUGAAUGUAGCUUUUAAUUUAGAACAAAUGAUCGACUCCUGAAGUACAAAUGGUGCAAAUAUUUUCUUUUAUUAUUCUGUACAUGUAAAAUGAUAUGUGGCUUUAACUAAAGUGUAUUUUUCUUCA
This is a non-coding RNA of Poecilia reticulata (guppy), 2077 nucleotides long. The record is from RefSeq and is a predicted model, not a curated record. NCBI's taxonomy places the organism in Eukaryota, Metazoa, Chordata, Actinopteri, Cyprinodontiformes, Poeciliidae.